This 250-nucleotide unclassified non-coding RNA is filed under the name uncultured Xylaria. RNAcentral describes it as "partial contains 5.8S ribosomal RNA, internal transcribed spacer 2, and large subunit ribosomal RNA". Lineage: Eukaryota; Fungi; Ascomycota; Sordariomycetes; Xylariales; Xylariaceae. The record is from RNAcentral.
AACGCACAUUGCGCCCAUUAGUAUUCUAGUGGGCAUGCCUGUUCGAGCGUCAUUUCAACCCUUAAGCCUCUGUUGCUUAGUGUUGGGAGCCUACGGUAUAGUAGCUCCCUAAAGUUAGUGGCGGAGUCGGUUCACACUCUAGACGUAGUAGAUUUUAUCUCGCCUAUCAGUUGGACCGGUCCCCUGCCGUAAAACCCCCCCAAAUUUAAAGGUUGACCUCGGAUCAGGUAGGAAUACCCGCUGAACUUAA